UAUAAGGUCACACAGGGGUUGAAUAGUUGUUCUCAUCGGCUUAAACUGCAGAUUAUCACGUAUCAUUUAAGUCUAUAGCUCUAAUGCCUGUCCCAGACAGGUGUUGCAUAUCAUUUUCACAAGCUAAUAGCACUCCACUUGCGUUUCUGUGUGGCUUCUGUUUAUUGGCUUAGUUGCAGUAUCAAAUCCUGUCAAGGAUUCCAGGAGGGGGUAAAGUACAUUACUUUAGUACCUGAAGAGGACUGGGUGUCUCAGAAUAGAUCCAGACCACUUCAGCCUAACAUAAUUUCUCCAUCCUAUUUUCAUCCAUCUUAACUUCACCUCAACCUCUACUCAACUCAAAUUUGAUUGGUCACAUACACGUGGUUAGCAUCCCUCAUCCCUCUCUUUCUCCUGAUAGUUACCCCUUUCUUCUUUGUUCCAAACUCCCAAACCUCAACCCUUUCCAGCCUCAUCCCUCUCCCCUGGCAACUGCCCCACCCCACAACUACCCUCCACCAUCAUGGGGCUUCAUCCCCUCAUGAUUUUCAUUGUCUCCUUCAACCUCUUAAUCACCAUCAUAGAGUGGACUUGGCUCUUGUCUAGGAUUCUCAGGGUUGAAGAUGAAGAUGUCUCUCCAGAAUGACAAAGAAACAUAGCCCUACCUUCUUAAGCUCUCGUCCCAACUCCACUGAGUAGAAAAAACAUUUUCCUAAUAGUGUACUCUCUGUGUCUGUCUUCAUGGUUGCUUCCAGGAUUCCAUGCUUGCUUUGAUUUACAGAGCAAUUCUGCAUGCUACAAGUGUUUCCAUCCAGGAUUACAGAGAACUUUCUAGACUUUCUCUCAGCGACAACAUAGCUGAGGGGAAGCUACACAUCAAGUUUGUAAGAGUACAAUGGUACACAGAGUGGAUCUACUCAUAGAAACCUCAUAGAAACCAAGUACUUUACCUCCUCAAAGACUAUACAGACUCAUCAAGGCGAUACAGACAGAUCUGCUUCGUACAUAACGUCUGCAGUCUGCGCAUCAUCCAUUUACUGUGUACCCCACCGCAUCUCACUAUACCAAUAGCGUACUUCACCAAUCAAACCAUGGGCUAUCAGCUGCCCCCGACCCAUGCACAAAACAUCCCAGAACUGGUCGCAGUGGCCUGGAACCUCACACAGCUGAACUUUGAACCCCGCCAGCUCCUCCAGGCUUCCGUGAUUGGACAGGAGGAGGACGAGAAAGAGUAUUUCAUAAACUACGUCCCGCCUUCUCGCGAUGCCAUCGAGCUGCCUCGCCAUGUUGUUUAUAUACUUAUAGGAGUGGUGUUGGUGGUAGUCGCUACCUACGCCAUAGUGGGUCACCUGAUCAAGGACCUGAUGCAUGACCUAGCAGGUAACCUGGGACUCCUUCUAUCUGCUACCAUCUGAAGGUUUUACCACUUGGUGUCACCGUGUGUCAUCGUCCUAAUUCCCUAUCAUGUGACGUGAGUCAUUGUUUGAUCAUCUGACUGUCUUUCCCUUCUUGGAUGGCCACUGGUUCAGUGAGUCAACAUGAUGUUGACUGUUGAUGUCAUCUAUGCCAUGAAAAUCUUUGUGUGUUCUGACCUUCCCUCCAUUUUGCACCUGUUGUGGGUACAAAGCUGCAGUGUAUUCCCUGAGGUCAUCUCUAUGGCUGUCAGUGUGUCAUCAAGCUCAAGAGUGCGAAUAUGAAAACGUACUGGUCUGUUGGUGGCAUUUCAUAAACCACCUAAAAUAUUAUAUAGCCUAAGUGCACAAAAUGCUAUAUUUAAGCAAUAAGGCACGUAUGGUAUAUUGGCCAAACCCCAGUGGUGACUUAUUGCUAUUAUAAACUGUUUACCAACGUAAUUAGAACGGUAGUAUAUGGUCUCAGAUACUGCGGCUUUCAGACAUUCAGCAUUCAGAGCUUGACCCACCAAGUUUAUGAUGUAAAAUAACCUA
This is a long non-coding RNA of Oncorhynchus keta (chum salmon), 1925 nucleotides long. RefSeq lists it as uncharacterized. Lineage: Eukaryota; Metazoa; Chordata; Actinopteri; Salmoniformes; Salmonidae. The transcript is spliced from 3 exons. The record is from RefSeq and is a predicted model, not a curated record.